AGAAUCAACGCUGGCGGCGUGCCUAACACAUGCAAGUCGAACGAGAAAGUGGAGCAAUCCAUGAGUAAAGUGGCGCACGGGUGAGUAACACGUGACUAACCUACCCUUGAGUGGGGGAUAACCUAGAGAAAUCUGGGCUAAUACCGCAUAAUACCUUCGGGUCAAAGGAGCAAUUCGCUUAAGGAGGGGGUCGCGGCCGAUUAGUUAGUUGGCGGGGUAAUGGCCCACCAAGACUAUGAUCGGUAUCCGGCCUGAGAGGGCGCACGGACACACUGGAACUGAAACACGGUCCAGACUCCUACGGGAGGCAGCAGUGGGGAAUUUGCGCAAUGGGGGAACCCUGACGCAGCAACGCCGCGUGGAGGAUGAAGUCCCUUGGGACGUAAACUCCUUUCGAUCGGGACGAUAAUGACGGUACCGAGAGAAGAAGCCCCGGCUAACUUCGUGCCAGCAGCCGC
This 458-nucleotide ribosomal RNA is filed under the name uncultured bacterium. RNAcentral describes it as "SSU rRNA". It matches the Rfam family "Bacterial small subunit ribosomal RNA", at positions 26 to 518 of the family's 1533-position model. The record is from RNAcentral.